CCAGCCCUCCUCGGCUGCAGAGGGCCAGGGCUCCGCCGCUCCCGGCCGCGUAGCAGGUGCCCAGUCCGCGCCCCACACCUCUCUGCCGGGAGGACACCGGCAGGACAGCGAGGGCACAGGCCCCGGGCUCCACCCGCUGAGCCCCAGACCGGGGAACCCACGCCGCUGUCCCUUCCCCAAAGCCGAGGGGCGCAUCCCGGACUGGCCGCCUGCCUCGCCUCUCGGUUGCUGCUGCUUAUACCCUCUGGGCAACAGGCAACCUGAGCUCCCAGACUGGCCCAUCGCCUAGCCAGGUGAGGGGCCUUGUCCCUCCACACACUUUCCAGGCAGUGGGGACCCCUGGCUGGGGGCUGCAGCAUGGAGAAAUGACACAGAAACAAACUUCCUCU
Psammomys obesus (fat sand rat) is the source of this 389-nucleotide long non-coding RNA. RefSeq lists it as uncharacterized. The transcript is spliced from 3 exons. Lineage: Eukaryota; Metazoa; Chordata; Mammalia; Rodentia; Muridae. The record is from RefSeq and is a predicted model, not a curated record.